GAUAACCGUAGAUAGUCGCUAAAUCGAGGGUAGGAUGUUCAAUGAUACGCACAGAUUGAGUAGUUGCAUCAUAUAACCCUCCCCAAUACAUCGCUUUUCCAGCUAAUAAUAAAGCACCUGCACCCAAAAAUAGCAGAUGAUGACCGAGAAUUAAGCCUAAUUUAGCAGAAUCAUCCCA
RNAcentral lists this antisense RNA (178 nucleotides) under Geminocystis sp. NIES-3708. RNAcentral's name for it is "Antisense RNA which regulates isiA expression". It matches the Rfam family "Antisense RNA which regulates isiA expression". The record is from Rfam by way of RNAcentral. Lineage: Bacteria; Bacillati; Cyanobacteriota; Cyanophyceae; Chroococcales; Geminocystaceae.